This 253-nucleotide ribosomal RNA is filed under the name uncultured bacterium. RNAcentral describes it as "partial 16S ribosomal RNA". It matches the Rfam family "Bacterial small subunit ribosomal RNA", at positions 524 to 776 of the family's 1533-position model. The record is from RNAcentral.
UACGUAGGGGGCAAGCGUUGUCCGGAAUUAUUGGGCGUAAAGAGCUCGUAGGCGGUCUGUCGCGUCGGCUGUGAAAUCCCGAGGCUCAACCUCGGGUCUGCAGUCGAUACGGGCAAACUUGAGUGUUGCAGGGGAGACUGGAAUUCCUGGUGUAGCGGUGAAAUGCGCAGAUAUCAGGAGGAACACCGGUGGCGAAGGCGGGUCUCUGGGCAACAACUGACGCUGAGGAGCGAAAGCGUGGGGAGCGAACAGG